GCAGGAUCAACCAGGUAGCAUUCCUCGCAGACAUCGGGCCACACGACACGAAUGCCAAUGCGACCCAAACGUCGUUUGGAUUUUAGCUUGUUAAGCUUUGUUGGGCAAAUAGAUGUCUAUGACAUCGUGCCCCUCACAUUUUCCGCAUCCGAAAGUCCGAGCAAGAUCUCAUGAGCCACAACGACAAGCCUAAUGGCCCACGAUGCGGAGCAUGAAAAUUGCUUUUUGCUUCACCCGCAACCGCACCGAAUUAACAGGCAACCUUGGGCGAACUAGAGAAUAUAAGCAACCGAAUUCCAUUUUAUAAGGUAAGCAACACAGGAAACCUAGCCACGGCCAAAGCAAAUUGUGCCCAACAAUGAAGUGGAAAGCGCAGUUAGUUGUCGACGCACGAGGCGGGGAUCCAACCAAACCGUGCUAUC
This 422-nucleotide unclassified non-coding RNA is filed under the name Oldenlandia filicaulis. RNAcentral describes it as "partial external transcribed spacer". Lineage: Eukaryota; Viridiplantae; Streptophyta; Magnoliopsida; Gentianales; Rubiaceae. The record is from RNAcentral.